CGCGUAGGCGGUUUGUUAAGUCGGAUGUGAAAGCCCCGGGCUCAACCUGGGAACUGCACCCGAUACUGGCCGACUAGAGUACGAGAGAGGGAGGUAGAAUUCCACGUGUAGCGGUGAAAUGCGUAGAUAUGUGGAGGAAUACCGGUGGCGAAGGCGGCCUCCUGGCUCGAUACUGACGCUGAGGUACGAAAGCGUGGGGAGCAAACA
RNAcentral lists this ribosomal RNA (207 nucleotides) under uncultured bacterium. RNAcentral's name for it is "partial 16S ribosomal RNA". It matches the Rfam family "Bacterial small subunit ribosomal RNA", at positions 568 to 774 of the family's 1533-position model. The record is from RNAcentral.